Molecule: ribosomal RNA, 466 nt
Filed under: uncultured bacterium
Lineage: Bacteria
Description: partial 16S ribosomal RNA
Rfam family: Bacterial small subunit ribosomal RNA
Source: RNAcentral
GAUGAACGCUGGCGGCGUGCUUAACACAUGCAAGUCGAACGAUGAAGCCCAGCUUGCUGGGUGGAUUAGUGGCGAACGGGUGAGUAACACGUGAGUAACCUGCCCUUAACUCUGGGAUAAGCCUGGGAAACUGGGUCUAAUACCGGAUAGGAGCGUCCACCGCAUGGUGGGUGUUGGAAAGAUUUAUCGGUUUUGGAUGGACUCGCGGCCUAUCAGCUUGUUGGUGAGGUAAUGGCUCACCAAGGCGACGACGGGUAGCCGGCCUGAGAGGGUGACCGGCCACACUGGGACUGAGACACGGCCCAGACUCCUACGGGAGGCAGCAGUGGGGAAUAUUGCACAAUGGGCGCAAGCCUGAUGCAGCGACGCCGCGUGAGGGAUGACGGCCUUCGGGUUGUAAACCUCUUUCAGUAGGGAAGAAGCGAAAGUGACGGUACCUGCUGAAGAAGCACCGGCUAACUACGUG